Vombatus ursinus (common wombat) is the source of this 1330-nucleotide RNA transcript. It is a transcript of the gene named DNA polymerase beta, with no coding region annotated. The transcript has 15 exons. The record is from RefSeq and is a predicted model, not a curated record. NCBI's taxonomy places the organism in Eukaryota, Metazoa, Chordata, Mammalia, Diprotodontia, Vombatidae.
UCUCCGCUGUCAGAGUGCCGGGGUCGCCAUUGUUACUGCUUCUGACUUCGGCGCUGGUCGGAGCCCAUGCGCGGCUCCUUGUCGGGGGGCAGCCCUCCCUCACCCCUAGCGAGGGCCUCCGAAGACUGAGGUGGGGGAGGCCCCGAGCUGGGGCUCCAGUCCAUUCCGCCAUGAGCAAACGGAAGGCGCCGCAGGAGACUCUCAACGCAGGCAUCACCGACUUCCUGACGGAGCUUGCAAAUUAUGAGAGGAAUGUGAACCGAGCAAUCCAUAAGUACAGUGCUUACAGAAAAGCAGCCUCUGUGAUAGCCAAGUACCCAAGCAAAAUAAAAAGUGGAGCGGAAGCAAAGAAGCUGGAUGGAGUAGGAACAAAAAUUGCUGAGAAGAUUGAUGAGUUUUUAACUACUGGAAAAUUACGUAAACUGGAAAAGAUUAGGGAGGAUGAUACAAGUUCAUCCAUCAAUUUGCUGACACGAGUUAGUGGUAUUGGUCCAUCUGCUGCAAGGAAGCUUGUAGAUGAAGGAAUUAAAACAUUGGAAGAUCUUAGGAAAAAUGAACGCAAAUUGAACCAUCAUCAGCGAAUUGGGCUGAGAUAUUUUGAAGACUUUGAGAAGAGAAUUCCUAGGGAAGAAAUGUUACAAAUGCAAGAUAUUGUACUGAAUGAAAUUAAGAAAGUUGAUUCAAAAUACAUUGCUACAGUUUGUGGAAGUUUCCGACGAGGUGCAGAGUCAAGUGGAGAUAUGGAUAUUCUCCUUACCCAUCCUAGCUUCACUUCUGAGUCAACUAAACAGCCCAAGCUGUUGCAUCAAGUUGUAGAACAACUACAGAAAGUCCACUUCAUCACAGAUACUCUGUCAAAGGGGGACACAAAAUUUAUGGGUGUUUGUCAGCUGUCAAGUGAAGAUGAGAAAGUUGCAUAUCCAUAUAGAAGAAUUGAUAUCAGAUUGAUUCCCAAGGACCAGUAUUACUGUGGUGUUCUUUACUUCACUGGCAGUGAUAUUUUCAAUAAGAAUAUGAGGGCCCACGCCCUAGAAAUGGGCUUCACAAUCAAUGAGUAUACGAUCCGGCCCUUGGGAGUCACUGGAGUUGCUGGAGAACCCCUCCCAGUUGACAGUGAGAAAGACAUCUUUGACUAUAUCCAGUGGAAAUACCGAGAACCCAAAGACAGAAGCGAGUGAUGCCUGUGUCAAUGCCAAGAACCACCACACAGCAAUCUUUAUUUCUUGAACUUUACUGUGAACCUCAGUUUUCAUGUACAUUGAAGAACACAGACAAAGAACCAGCUCCUUUUCCACCAUGGUUUACAGUAGUAGUUUCAAAGUAUCAGAUA